UACGUAGGGUGCGAGCGUUAAUCGGAAUUACUGGGCGUAAAGCGUGCGCAGGCGGUUUUGUAAGUCAUAUGUGAAAUCCCCGGGCUUAACCUGGGAACUGCGUUUGAAACUACAAGGCUAGAGUGUGGCAGAGGGGGGUGGAAUUCCACGUGUAGCAGUGAAAUGCGUAGAGAUGUGGAGGAACACCGAUGGCGAAGGCAGCCCCCUGGGUUAACACUGACGCUCAGGCACGAAAGCGUGGGGAGCAAACAGG
RNAcentral lists this ribosomal RNA (253 nucleotides) under uncultured bacterium. RNAcentral's name for it is "partial 16S ribosomal RNA". It matches the Rfam family "Bacterial small subunit ribosomal RNA", at positions 524 to 776 of the family's 1533-position model. The record is from RNAcentral.